Molecule: long non-coding RNA, 290 nt
Filed under: Nicotiana benthamiana
Lineage: Eukaryota; Viridiplantae; Streptophyta; Magnoliopsida; Solanales; Solanaceae
Description: long non-coding RNA (NBEN_LNC024727)
Source: RNAcentral
AAAGAAUCAAAACAAGAUAAAUACGGAAAAUGUAGUAGAAAGCAGAAAACAGGGCAAUACUAGUAAAUUCUACUCGUAACAAGAACCACAACCGAGGAUAUCUUGGUAUCCCGAGGAUCUCUUGGUAUCCUCAAAACUUAUAAUUUCGUGUGCCAGGGAUCUCUUGGUUUCCUGAGGAUCUCCUGGUAUCCUCAAAACUUACAAUUUCAUUUGCCAGGGAUCUCUUGGUAUCCCACACCCUCAUCUAGAACAUAUCAAGUGCAUGGAGAUCUCCCGGAAGGACAACCCGU